RNAcentral lists this ribosomal RNA (405 nucleotides) under Homotoma unifasciata. Its description in RNAcentral is "partial 16S ribosomal RNA". Lineage: Eukaryota; Metazoa; Arthropoda; Insecta; Hemiptera; Carsidaridae. The record is from RNAcentral.
AAACAUGGCUGAAAGUAAAUGUUUUUGGUCUAAUCUGCUCAAUGCAGUCAAUAGCUGCAGUAUUUUGACUGUACAAAGGUAGCAUAAUCAUUAGUUUUUUAAUUGAAAACUUGUAUGAACGAUUGGAUGAAAAAUUUUUAUUUAUAGUGAAUUUUUUUUUUAAGUAAGAAAUCUUAAUUGAUAAAAAGGGACGAGAAGACCCUAUAGAAUUUUAUAUUAUGUUAUAUUUAUUGGGGUGAUUUUAUUAACAUUAUUUUCAUUUUUAUGUGUAAUGAUCUUUAUUUAGAUACAAAGAAAAAAUUACCUUAGGGAUAACAGCAUAAUUUUUAUUUAGAGUUCUAAUUUAAAUAAAAGAUUAUGACCUCGAUGUUGAAUUAAAAAUUGUUUAUGAGUAGAAAUUAGGCA